RNAcentral lists this ribosomal RNA (253 nucleotides) under uncultured bacterium. RNAcentral's name for it is "partial 16S ribosomal RNA". It matches the Rfam family "Bacterial small subunit ribosomal RNA", at positions 524 to 776 of the family's 1533-position model. The record is from RNAcentral.
UACGGAGGGAGCUAGCGUUGUUCGGAAUUACUGGGCGUAAAGCGCGCGUAGGCGGCUUUGCAAGUCGGGUGUGAAAUCCCCAGGCUCAACCUGGGAACUGCAUUCGAGACUGCAUUGCUAGAGUAUGGGAGAGGGAAGUGGAAUUUCCGGUGUAGCGGUGAAAUGCGUAGAUAUCGGAAGGAACAUCAGUGGCGAAAGCGACUUCCUGGACCAAUACUGACGCUCACGUGCGAAAGCGUGGGGAGCAAACAGG